AUACGUAGGGGGCGAGCGUUGUCCGGAAUGAUUGGGCGUAAAGGGCGCGUAGGCGGCGCGGUAAGUCUGGAGUGAAAGUCCUGCUUUCAAGGUGGGAAUUGCUUUGGAUACUGCCGCGCUUGAGUGCAGGAGAGGUUAUCGGAAUUCCCGGCGUAGCGGUGAAAUGCGUAGAGAUCGGGAGGAACACCAGUGGCGAAGGCGGGUAACUGGACUGCAACUGACGCUGAGGCGCGAAAGUGUGGGGAGCAAACAGGAUUAGAUACCCUGGUAGUCCACACUGUAAACGAUGAAUGCUAGGUGUAAGAGGUAUCGACCCCUUUUGUGCCGGAGUCAACACAAUAAGCAUUCCGCCUGGGGAGUACGGCCGCAAGGUUGAAACUCAAAGGAAUUGACGGGG
RNAcentral lists this ribosomal RNA (397 nucleotides) under uncultured bacterium. RNAcentral describes it as "partial 16S ribosomal RNA". It matches the Rfam family "Bacterial small subunit ribosomal RNA", at positions 523 to 918 of the family's 1533-position model. The record is from RNAcentral.